RNAcentral lists this ribosomal RNA (513 nucleotides) under uncultured bacterium. RNAcentral's name for it is "bacterial SSU rRNA". It matches the Rfam family "Bacterial small subunit ribosomal RNA", at positions 994 to 1509 of the family's 1533-position model. The record is from RNAcentral.
AGAGAUAGCGUUUGUUGGCCUUCGGGUACGUACUGAGGACAGGUGCUGCAUGGCUGUCGUCAGCUCGUGUUGUGAAAUGUUGGGUUAAGUCCCGCAACGAGCGCAACCCUUAUCCUUUGUUGCCAGCGAUUCGGUCGGGAACUCAAAGGAGACUGCCAGUGAUAAACUGGAGGAAGGUGGGGAUGACGUCAAGUCAUCAUGGCCCUUACGAGUAGGGCUACACACGUGCUACAAUGGCGCAUACAAAGAGAAGCGACCUCGCGAGAGCAAGCGGACCUCAUAAAGUGCGUCGUAGUCCGGAUUGGAGUCUGCAACUCGACUCCAUGAAGUCGGAAUCGCUAGUAAUCGUAGAUCAGAAUGCUACGGUGAAUACGUUCCCGGGCCUUGUACACACCGCCCGUCACACCAUGGGAGUGGGUUGCAAAAGAAGUAGGUAGCUUAACUUUCGGGAGGGCGCUUACCACUUUGUGAUUCAUGACUGGGGUGAAGUCGUAACAAGGUAAGCGUAGUGCU